UUUACCUAAAUGAAUGGUAAAUAAAACAUAAUUAUAAAUAAUAUAACUAAAAAUUUAAAUAGCAUAUUGAAAAAUAAAGAAUAAAAAACUGAAAAAAAAUUCUAAAGGUCUACUACCCUAGUAUGAUAUUGUUUGCCGCCUCUGGCAUGAGUUAUUAGGUCUUCUUGUUUUUGUCUAGUUUUUGUUCCUUUUUGUUUAUCAGUUUGCAUUCGGCGCCUUAAGCUCUUUUACUCCUACGAUUUGGAGAAAAUUGGUAUCGUUUUCUGGCCAUCAAACCUGCAAUCAUGGAAGCCGAAUUAGCCCAUUGACACAUAAUGAAGAAGAAGAAGAAAUUUUGUAGAUCUAGGUAGAUCCGUGCACGGAAAGAGAAUUGGGGGAGUUUCAACUAGUAGGUUGCUUCCUAACAGCCAGUAUAAUCCACUUUCCAGCCAUGAAAAGUACUAUGACAAACCUGUGGCAUCCUGUUCGUGGGGUUCAAAUUCAAGAUCUGGGAGAAAAAAGGUAUCUUUUUCAGUUCUUUCAUAAUAUGGACAUGGAAAGGGUUUUGAAAGGUUCACCAUGGACUUUUAAUUAUCAUUUAUUGGUGCUUUACAAAUUAAAAAGGGGGGAUGAUCUAUUAAGAGUACCAUUAAUUCUUACUCCUUUCUGGGUACAAAUUCACGAUGUCCCAAAUUGGGUUGUUUUCUGAAAAUUUAGCAACACAACUGGUAAAUUUUAUAGGGUUUUUUUAGAAUAUGAUGGAUCAAAUUUGGGGAAUUAAAAUCGCAAUUACAUGAGAAUAAGAGUACAGAUUGAUAUUCGAUGCCCUUUGAAAAGAAAGAAACAGGUUAUGUAUUGUGGGAGAUGUUCGUAUGUUAAAUUUAAGUAUGAACGUUUAUCUCUUUUCUAUUUCAAUUGUGGACGUUUGAGGCAUAGCGACUCUUUUUGUGAGGCAAAAAUGAUGCUAGGGGUGGAAAUUGCUAAAAUGGGGUGGGAUUUAUCAUUGAGAGCACAAUCUUGAAGAGCUGCAUCAAUGAAUAGCAUAUGGCCAUGAGAAGAAGGUGCAGGAAAAAGGGAAGGCAGCUGGCAGGAUAAUAGGAUUUUGGGAUGUAGAUCAUGGGAGGGGACAAAUAAAGAAAGAAGCGGGCAAUUUAUUGAUCCACAUUUGGGAUUUAACAUAGAAGAGGGAACGUCAUCUCUUGAUGAAAGGAAGGAAAAAAUUGGCUGGAUCAGAUGCAAACUGCCAUAGAACAUGAUUUAGAAGAUAGUAUUUUAAUAGGGGAGGAAGGGAAAAAGUGUAAUCGGGGGGAGAUGGAAGAUUCGACAGGAAAGGAAGAAAGUGAUAAUGCAAUGGCAAGGUGUAGAAGAACGGUUAAUUUUAAUCUUGUAUAAUCAGCGGCUGCCACAAGGCAAGCCGAUCAGGCGCAAUGAAAAUCAUAAGUUGGAAUGUUCGUGGUUUGGGGAGUCCACGAACGAUUCUUAGACUUUGAAAUUUUUUGAAGUCACAUCAUCCCCAAAUUGUCUUCUUUAUGGAGACAAAGCUUUGUAAAAGACAGAUGGAACGAGUACGUAGAAAUUUUGGUUUUGUGAAUGGUAUUGAAGUUGAUUUAGAUGGUACGAGAGGCGGACUGUGUUUAGCUUAGAGGAAUGAUGUUAAUAUUACACUUUAUAAUUUUUCUAAAAGAAAUAUUGAUGUGGUGAUUGAAGACAAAGAAUAAGGAACCGAUUAGAGAUUUACAGGAUUUUCUGGAUCCCCAUAUGCACAAGAUAGGAUCGAUUCAUGGGCUGUUUUGAAAAGUUUGAUUUCUAACAUGGAUAUCCCUUGGUUGGUUUGCGGAGACUUUAAUUUGGUAAAAAAAUGAGGGCUGCCUAGAGAUGAAAGAAUGAUGGAAUUGUUUCGAAAAACUUUGGAGGAAUGUUAACUGAAUGACGUGGGUUUUUCUGGAAAUUGGUUCACUUGGGAAAGAGGCAAUCUAUCAGAGACAAAUAUACAAGAACGAUUUGAUAGAGGUACUGCUAAUGUAGCAUGGAUUACUUUGUUCUCAGCGGUGAAAGUUCAACACCUUAUACACUUUUUUUCAGACCACUGGCCUCUCUUAAUUAAUAUAAGAAUGAACGAAGAACGAUUAAGGAAUUGUACUUUCAAAUUCGAAGCUUGGUAGGCUUUAGAGGAUGCUUUCCUUACUGAAGUUAAGGUUCUAUAGGAGAAGUCUUCAAGGGAUCUAUUACAGAAGCUAGAGAAUUUUAAAAAAAGGCUAAAAUAGUGGGCUGGGCAAAUUCAAGCAAAUAGGAAAAAGAAAAAACAUGUACUACUGGAAAAAUUAGCUGAGCUGGCUGAAGCUGAUAGAGAUGACAAAAAUUUGGCUGAAUUGAUUGACACGAAAAUUUAUUUAAAUUUUGACAUUGAGAAAGAUGAACGUUAUUGGAAGCAGAGGGCCAGACUAAAUUGGUUGAAAUUUGAGAAUAAAAAUACAGUAUUUUUUCGAAGUCAAGCGUCACAGCUUCGAAGGACAAAUUUUAUUCAUAGGUUGCAAAAUGAAGCUGGGAGAGAAAUGAAGGCCUUACAGGGAAUCGAGGAGGCUGCACGAUAUUAUUUUCUAAAUUUGUUUUCUGUAGUGGAGAGGGAAAACUAUGACCAUUUGAUGACAGGAAUUGAUCGGUGUGUGUAUGAGGAAGACAAUCGAUAGCUUACAGCACUUUACACAAAAGAGGAGAUUCAAGAAGCAGUGUUUACCAUGGGACCCACAAAGGCACCAGGGGAAGAUGGAUUACUAGACCUUUUUUAUCAGAAAUACUGGCACAUUAUUGGAGAGGAAGUCACCUCUUUUUGUUUACAACUUUUAAAUGGGGACAUAGAGGUGAGUUUAAUUAAUUCUACUAAUAUAGUGCUUAUUCUGAAAGUUUCCAAUCCUUCUAAUAUGAUGUAGAUUAGGCCAAUUAGUUUAUACAAUGUACUUUACAAAAGCUUGGCUAAGGUAAUCGCAAAUCGAUUUAGAGGAGUUAUUGAAAAAUGUAUUGAUGGCACGCAGAGUGCCUUUGUGCCAGGACGAUUAAUAUCAAACAAUGUCUUAUUAGCCUAUGAAACAUUGUAUAUGCUAAAACAUAAGAGAUUGGGGAAGAAAAGAUAUAUGGCAUUUAAACUCGACAUGAGUAAAGUAUAUGAUAGGGUCUAAUAGAAUUUCAUAAGGGAGAUAAUGGUACGAAUGGGAUUUGAUCAAAAAUGGGUUGAUGCUCUUAUGAAAUGUGUAACUAUUAUUUCUUAUUCAGUGGUCAUAAUGGGCAUAUUGGGUAAAAGUUUCUACCCACAAGAGGUCUCAGACAUGGCGAUCCUCUAAGCCCAUUCCUAUUUCUUUUAUGUGGAGAGGGUUUUUUGAGCUUAUUAAGACUUGUAACAAAUGAGUGGUUUUUUAAAGGUGUUAAGAUUAGUAGAAGUGUUCCACCAAUUUCCCACCUUCUAUUUGCCGAUGAUUGUAUUUUAUUUGGGGAGGCUACAACCGAGGGAGCAAACUUAUUCAAUGACAUCUUACGUGAAUAUAAAUCGUGUUCGGGUCAAUGCAUGAACUUCGACAAAUCAACAGUAUUUUUUCAUAGGUAUACUACGGAAGAAGAUAGAAGAUUAGUUGUCAACUUACUGGGGGUCGCAGCUCGAAUGAACCAGAACGAUACUUAAGGUUGCCGAGUAUGGUGGGUCGGAGGAAAAAAGAAUCUUUUCAAAAUAUGAAGGAUCGACUCCAAAAGUGGAUUGAUAAUUGGAGUAAUAGGCUCUUAUCACAGGGUGGAAAAGAAAUUUUUAUAAAGGCCAUUUUUCAGGCUAUACCUACUUAUAAGAUGACUUGUUUUUUUAUUACAUAAAGCUCUAUGUGAUGAACUUGAAAGUAUUGUUGCAAGGUUCUGGUGGCAGAAGGGACAUGGAAAAAAAGGUAUCCAUUGGUGUGUUUGGAAAAACCUCUGUUUUUUGAAAAAAAAUGGUAGAUUAGGUUUUCGAAAUUAUGAUCAAUUCAAUAUUGCGUUAUUAGCCAAAAAAGGCUGGCGUCUUAUUAAUUAUCCAAAUUCAUUAUUGGACAGAUUUUUAAAAGCAAAGGAAUUUACCUUCACUUACUUGGAAGAGUAUUUGGGCUGCAAAGGGACUUCUUCAAAGAAGGUUGUGCUGGAGAGUGGGUAGAGGGGAUAACAUUUCAAUUUGGGACAAUAGUUGGGUUUAGGGGAUCGACAAAGUUGAAGGAAACAACUGACCAGAAAAUGAGGAGUUAGUCAGUUUCGGAUCUCAUUAACAUUCCAAACAAAAAGUGGAAGACGGAUUUGAUUUAAAAUACCUUUUCAGGAGAAAUUGCGAAGAAAAUUUUAUAGAUCCCACUUGCAGAGACGGACCGUGAAGAUAUUCAAGUCUAGAAAGGAGAACCAUCCGAGGAAUUUUCAGUUUGCAGCGCCUAUAAACUAUUACAAUGGGCUAAUCCGGAUCCUAGUAAUUUCUUAAUACAAACCGAAACUACAGAUUUCUACAAAAAAUUAUGGGGUUUACAGCUUCCUUCAAAAAUCACUAUAAUUAUUUGGCGAAUCUCUUGGGAUUUCAUCCUUCAUCUAGCUAAUCUCAGAUACCGAAGAGUUUCUACAAGUGACAGAUGUCCCUGUUGCCGUUCUUAGGUUGAAACAGUCCUUAUUUUUUUCGUCAAUGCCCUGUAACAACAGAAGUGUGGCAUUUUUUACAUCUAUCUUGGGUCAUGAACAAUAUGAAUCAAACUAUAUGGGAGUGGCUUACCUAGGUUUUCAAGAGAGGAACUGGGGAACAAUGUUGCCUUUUUUGUAUUGCUUUAUGGCUAAUCUGGUUUUCUAGAAAUCAACUCAUUCACGAGAGGAAGGAAAAGACAGGUAGAGAACUUGCUCAUCGAAUACAGAGGUAUAUGGCAGAAAAUGAAGGGGUGAGAGAAACUCCGAAUCCCUUCAACACAAACAAGAAUCACAGAGGUCAGAAGGACAUAUCGAGAAUAACGAUCCAGUUCAAUGUGGCGUUCGACAUUCGAAACUUCAAAUCAGCAACAAGCCUGGUGGUUUGGGGCUUGACGGGCGAGCUCCUGGUCUUAAAGUCGACCCUUCACAACAAUGUUUCUUCCCCGUUCGCAGCAGAAGCAUUUGCAUGUUUGGAAGGCAAAAAGUUAGGGAUAUCAAUGGAUAUCCAAUCGAUUAAAAUCAUGAGGGAUUCUAGAACAAUAAUUAAAAAAUGUCAAACGUCUUCAACAGAUAAAUCAGAGAUCGGAGUGAUCAUAAAAGACAUUCAGAACAGGAAAGUUUAUUUUCAAGAGAUUAUCUUUCAGCAUAUUCAUAGAUCAGGGAACUCACAAGCACACAGAUUCGUAAAGAAUACUCUAGAUAGAUGAGAGAUCUCUUACCUGGUAGGAGAGGAGUUGAAUCGACAUCCUUUCGACUCGGAGGGAAGAUGGUCAAGAAGACCAGAUUAAAGAAGGAGAUAAGGAAUCUGAUUUCAAAAGUGAUAGUAAAUAAAAGCUUUAUUCUUGAAAAUAGCUAUCGUCAGAACGAAUGGGUGCUUUGAAAUGACAAAUCAAUGAAUGGUAGUGGAGGCCAGCCGUUUGAAUUGACUGGGUAGAUAUUUAGUUUCCUGUUUUCCGUCAGAAUCAUUUAAUGCUUUUUGUUUCCUUUAAGUUACGUUUAUUUUACAGUUUUUUUAGGAGGGCCCAUUAAUAUACAAGUUAAUGUGGCCAGAUUUGAAUUUAGGUUUGAUGUAAUAGGACUGGGCCAUGGGUCUUUAUUGGGUUUUUUUGUUAUUUUUUCUCUUCUUUUUUAAUAAUAUACCCGGUCUAUUGAUUUUAAAAAAAAAACUUAAUUUGCAUAAUUUAAAAGGAAAAAU
Molecule: long non-coding RNA, 5839 nt
Filed under: Gossypium barbadense (sea-island cotton)
Lineage: Eukaryota; Viridiplantae; Streptophyta; Magnoliopsida; Malvales; Malvaceae
Description: long non-coding RNA (GBAR_LNC005941)
Source: RNAcentral